CGCGGGCUUCGCUCCUUGUUGGGGAUUCGGCGGCGGCGGCGGCGGCGGCGCGGGCGCGCGCUUCCUAGUGACGCAGGCAGCGGGGCCGCGCACGCACGGGGCUGGGAGGGCCGGACACUUAUUUGGCGCUCGCCGGGGAGGAAGGCGGGGCCGUGAAAUAAGGCACAACGGGGCCUGGGGCGCGUGCGCGGACCGACUUUGUCAGCGCCUAACGCCGUGACUUCCUCCUGGUCCCCGCGGCUCCGGUUGGGUGUCGCCUGCCCCGCGCGAGCGGUCCGGACGAGGGACGAUGGUCGGUGGACGGACGGCGCCAGGGAGCAGUGCGCACGAGCGUCAGGGCGGUACCUCCAGGCCUCCAGGGCUGGCUCUCCUGACCUCACCAGUGUCAUCCAGCACCCUUGUGCUUGCUGUCACCCGCUGCCUGUCUGCAGGAUCCUGGAUUCCCUAUCAGGGGACUGAAAUUAGUCAGAAAAUAGGAAGCAGAUGCUUGUUUGGGAUGGAGCCCUGACCCUGUGCUCACACUUUAGGAGGAGGGCUCUGCAGGCCGCCUCCCCGAAUGGGAGGUUCCCAAGCCACUGCACUUCAGAGGUGCUGUAAUUAGAGUUGCACUUUCAUUCUGUUCCCAGUAAAGUGGAACGUGCUCAAGCCAGUGAGGAAAAGGUAUUUUUAACCGUUAGACUGGCCGAGUGCAGUGGCUCAUGCCUUUUAUCUCAACACUUUGGGAGGCCAAGGUGGGAGGAUCACCUGUGGCCAGGAGUUCAAAUCCAGCCUGGGCAAGAGUGAGCGUGUCUCUGGGGAUGAAUAAAAAAAUUAUUGAGCCUUU
Molecule: long non-coding RNA, 823 nt
Filed under: Rhinopithecus roxellana (golden snub-nosed monkey)
Lineage: Eukaryota; Metazoa; Chordata; Mammalia; Primates; Cercopithecidae
Description: lncRNA (ENSRROG00000046042.1)
Source: RNAcentral